Molecule: long non-coding RNA, 1000 nt
Organism: Silurus meridionalis
Lineage: Eukaryota; Metazoa; Chordata; Actinopteri; Siluriformes; Siluridae
Exons: 3
Source: RefSeq, a predicted model, not a curated record
UAGGCAUGGUUAUUUCUCUUGUAAAGCUUUUUUAAGUGUAUUGUAUUAAAUUGACUUGUAAUUGUAUUUUUUAAGUGUGAUCCAACAAAAUAUAAUAUUAUUUUGGGAGCUGUCCUUGAGCCCGGGCACUGGACAUUGGCUGUAAGAGGACUGCUCGUUUUUUUUGAUAACCUUUGAUAAGAAUUUAAAUAUAUCCAAUAGAUGUGAAAGAAUAUAUGAUUAAUAACAAUUUCUAUAGGCAAUCUUUCCAUCUGAAAGAAGAAGCCUUAUAUUGGAUCCCCUGGGAAAUUAUUCGAAAAAACUUCAACAGUGUUUGCAGUCCACAAGGUAACCACUGAAUUUACCUGAGACAACUGGGCAAGAGCAUCUCCAAAACUAUAGCUCUUGUGGGGUUUACUAGUCUGCAGUGGCAGUAUCUAUCAAAAGUGGUCCAACGAAGGAACAGUGAUGAACUUGCGUCUCAUUGGCUGCUUGAUUAAAGACUGACCUGUGUGGUCCGAUCCAACAGACGAGCUACUGUAGCUCAAAUUGCUGAAGAAGUUCAUGCUGUUUACGGCUGUUUUAGCAGCAAAAGGGGGACCAAUAUGUGUAAACAUGUAAUUGGCAUAUUUUUACUUUUCUUAUACCUUUUAGGGCCUUCAUCAGAAAACAAGGCUGCCAUGUAUUCAGAUGGGCAUCCAGCACAGAUGCACACUGUUGUCAGAAAGAUGCCACCUCAUGUGGGAUAUUUGUCCUGAAAAUGACCUAACUGAGCUGUGCCACAACUGUGGGGAGAAGAGCAAUGGGCAAAAGAAGACAGUGAGGAAAAAAAAUGAACAACCCCUAUCAUCUACUUGGAUUCAGUGUGACGUGUGUGACCGGUGGUUUCAUAUGCAGUGUGUUCAGGAGAGCGAUCCCAUCAAGUCCUACAGCUGUGCGGCGUGCACAUUUUAAAAUUCUCCUUCCUUCCCGUUAUGAUUUGCUAUUAAUAUUUUAGUAUUAAAGUUACCAUUAAAACAAA